UAACUACUGAUCAGUGAUGGCUCCCA
This 26-nucleotide non-coding RNA is filed under the name Mus musculus (house mouse). Lineage: Eukaryota; Metazoa; Chordata; Mammalia; Rodentia; Muridae. The record is from RNAcentral.